UUCAAAAACAUCUUUUCUUGUUAGUUUCUGAAGUACGGCCUGCCCGCUGACGUAUUUGAGUUGAAGGGCCGCGGUAUUUUGACCGUGCAAAGGUAGCAUAGUCAUUAGUUCUUUAAUUGUGAUCUGGUAUGAAUGGCUUGACGAGACAUGGGCUGUCUUGGUAUGGAUUUAUUGUUGAAUUUGGAGUUUAAGUUAGAAUUCUUAGAUGUUUUUAUGGGACGAGAAGACCCUAUAGAGUUUGACAAUUGAUUGUGCAUUCCUUACUGUUUGUUUUGAAUUUUUGUGUGUCUUUUGUUUUGUUGGGGUGAUGGGAGGAAUUUAUUUAACUCCUCUUUUUAUGUGAUAUAUUGAUUUAUGUUUGGUUUGAUCCAUUUAUUUUGAUUAUAAGAUUAAAUUACCUUAGGGAUAACAGCGUUAUCUUCCCUGAGAGUUCUUAUUGGCGGGGGGGUUUGCGACCUCGAUGUUGGAUUAAGGUUAAUUUUUGGUGUAGGAGCUGAAUUGAUUGGGUCUGUUCGACCUUUAAAUCUUACGUGAUC
RNAcentral lists this ribosomal RNA (536 nucleotides) under Odontotermes sp. ENT-MG173. Its description in RNAcentral is "partial small subunit ribosomal RNA". It matches the Rfam family "Bacterial large subunit ribosomal RNA", at positions 1806 to 2605 of the family's 2925-position model. The record is from RNAcentral. Lineage: Eukaryota; Metazoa; Arthropoda; Insecta; Blattodea; Termitidae.